RNAcentral lists this ribosomal RNA (457 nucleotides) under Nikkotettix taibaiensis. RNAcentral describes it as "partial large subunit ribosomal RNA". Lineage: Eukaryota; Metazoa; Arthropoda; Insecta; Hemiptera; Cicadellidae. The record is from RNAcentral.
AAGCUCUGCCCUAUGAUUAAUUAAUUAAAUGGCUGCAGUAAUUUGACUGUGCAAAGGUAGCAUAAUAAUUAGUCUUUUAAUUGAAGACUUGUAUGAAUGAGUAUAUGAGAAAUUUAUUUUAUUUUUAUUAAAAAAUUAAUUUUAUUUAUAAGUAAAAAAGCUUAUUAUUUUUAUUUAGACGAGAAGACCCUAUAGAACUAUAAUUAAAAUUUUAAUAUUAAUUUAAUUAAAAGUAAUUUUAACUUUUUCUUUUUUGCUGGGGCAGUAACUAAAUAUAAAUUUUAUUUUUUCAUUUCAUUGAUUUAUGUUUUAUUUAUUUAUAAAUUAUAAUUAUAAGUUUAAGUUACCUUAGGGAUAACAGCGUUAUUUUUAUGGAGAGUUCAUAUCUAUAUAGAAGUUUGCGACCUCGAUGUUGAAUUAAAAAAAAUAUGUGGGGUAGAUUUUUCAUUGUUAAGUC